Molecule: ribosomal RNA, 627 nt
Filed under: Triticum aestivum (bread wheat)
Lineage: Eukaryota; Viridiplantae; Streptophyta; Magnoliopsida; Poales; Poaceae
Description: partial small subunit ribosomal RNA
Source: RNAcentral
AUGGAGAAGCUGCCAUUGCAGCUGUGGACCCUGGAGGGCGCGAAGGACGCGCUGGGCGACAAGGUGAUCAUCGACCGCCUCCACAGCCGCACCUUCGAGCGCGCGGACACGAAGCUCUUCACCGUCUGGGUGUGGGUGUGGCAACUCCACCACAUCCCCACCAAGCGGACGUUGUGGAAGCACGCGCGGGGAGCCGACAGGGUGGAGGAGAUGCUCGGCUUCUCACUGCCGAGCAGAGCGGUCGCACCACCCCCCAACCUGCUUCGCUGGGACGUCCUGGUGCACAUCGAUCGCGUUGAAGACUGGACGCCGCUGUCCCCCCGCUCCUCGUACUCCGGUCAGAGGGGCCUCCCCUCCUCCUCCGACGACGAUCGACCGUACCCGCGCUACCCACACGCGGGUGGCUGGGUGUCAGGCGUGGAGGAUGGCAGGCCAUCGCAGGACCAGGGGCAGCGCCUGCGCCCUCCCGCUCAGAUGGCGUCCUCGGGCUGCAAGGGCAUUCCCUCGGCAGGCCACAGGCGCAGCCACGACGGCGAUGACAGCCAGGGAAGGUCCUGGAAGGACACGCUACUAGGGCGGGGCCGCAGUAAGGAGCCAGCCGCACUCCCACCCACGGAGCGCCACUGA